RNAcentral lists this transfer RNA (57 nucleotides) under Neotoma lepida (desert woodrat). It matches the Rfam family "tRNA", at positions 8 to 63 of the family's 71-position model. Rfam says of the family: Transfer RNA (tRNA) molecules are approximately 80 nucleotides in length. Their secondary structure includes four short double-helical elements and three loops (D, anti-codon, and T loops). Lineage: Eukaryota; Metazoa; Chordata; Mammalia; Rodentia; Cricetidae. The record is from Rfam by way of RNAcentral.
UAGCUCAGUCCGUACAGCAUGGGACUCUUAAUCCCAGGUCGUGGGUUCAUGCCCCAU